Molecule: transfer RNA, 77 nt
Filed under: Peptostreptococcaceae bacterium
Lineage: Bacteria; Bacillati; Bacillota; Clostridia; Peptostreptococcales; Peptostreptococcaceae
Description: tRNA-Arg
Rfam family: tRNA
About the family: Transfer RNA (tRNA) molecules are approximately 80 nucleotides in length. Their secondary structure includes four short double-helical elements and three loops (D, anti-codon, and T loops).
Source: RNAcentral
GUGCUCAUAGCUCGGUAGGAUAGAGCAACGGCCUUCUAAACCGUGUGUCCGGGGUUCGAAUCCUUGUGGGCACGCCA